ACGCAGGCGCGCUGCGAGUGACGUCAGGCAACAUGGCUGCGUCCUGCUUGGUUUUCCUCGUCGCUUAGGCAAGCCCUGGAUUUCCACCAGCAUGUUUCCCCUCCGAGGCCGUGGCCUCUGGGUCGCAGCGACCCUCUCCAGACAACACCUUCCGUCUGCCCGGCUCAGCGGCGACAGCGCGGCGCCCCGCUCCCCGCACUUCGACGUGGUGGUCGUCGGCGGAGGCCAUGCGGGGACCGAGGCUGCUGCAGCCGCCGCGCGCUGCGGCUCCCGGACUCUGCUCCUCACGCACCGCGUAGAUACGAUCGGUCAGAUGUCCUGUAAUCCUUCCUUUGGUGGCAUUGGAAAAGGACAUUUAAUGAGGGAAGUGGAUGCCUUGGAUGGCCUGUGUUCUCGCAUCUGUGACCAGUCUGGUGUGCAUUACAAAGUGCUAAAUCGGCGUAAGGGGCCGGCUGUAUGGGGACUGCGAGCUCAGAUUGAUAGGAAACUCUAUAAACAAAACAUGCAGAAAGAAAUCCUGAACACACCACUACUCACUGUUCAGGAAGGAGCUGUGGAAGAUCUCAUUUUGUCAGAGCCAGAGCCUGGGCACACUGGGAAAUGCCGUGUCAGUGGUGUUGUUUUGGUGGAUGGGAGCACAGUCCAUGCAGAGAGUGUGAUCCUGACCACUGGGACGUUUCUGAGAGGCAUGGUUGUGAUUGGACUGGAAAUGCAUCCCGCAGGACGUCUGGGGGAUCAACCUUCUGUAGGAUUGGCUCAGACUCUGGAGAAGUUGGGGUUUGUGGUGGGAAGAUUGAAGACUGGGACUCCACCCCGAAUUGCGAAAGAGUCUAUUGAUUUCAGUAUUCUAAACAAGCAGACACCAGAUAAUCCAUCUGUACCGUUCAGCUUCCUCAAUGAGACUGUGUGGAUUAAGCCAGAAGAUCAGCUGCCCUGUCAUCUGACUCACACCAACCCUAGGGUGGACGCCAUCAUCCUUGAGAACCUUCACCUUAACAGUCACGUGAAGGAAACGACAAAAGGGCCUCGAUACUGCCCCUCCAUUGAGUCAAAGGUUUUGCGCUUUCCAAACCGUGUCCAUCAGGUUUGGUUGGAACCUGAAGGAAUGGAUUCUGACCUUAUCUACCCUCAGGGGUUGUCUGUGACACUGCCAGCUGAGUUGCAGGAAAAGAUGAUCACAUGCAUCCGAGGCUUGGAGAAAGCAAAAAUGAUGCAGCCAGGCUAUGGUGUGCAGUACGAUUACUUAGACCCCCGGCAGAUCACACCUUCCCUUGAGACCCGUUUGGUUCAGCGACUCUUCUUUGCUGGACAGAUCAACGGCACCACAGGUUAUGAGGAAGCUGCAGCUCAGGGUGUGAUAGCGGGAGUGAACGCUAGUCUUCGGAUCAACUGCAAACCGCCCUUCAUUGUCAGCCGGACAGAAGGCUACAUAGGUGUCCUGAUCGAUGACCUCACCACAUUGGGCGCCAGUGAACCCUACCGCAUGUUCACCAGCCGCGCUGAGUUCCGUCUAUCACUGCGCCCAGAUAACGCCGACAGCCGGCUCACAUUCCGAGGGUACAAGGAAGCUGGCUGUGUGUCCCAGCAGCGGUAUGACAGAGCUGCUUGGAUGAAGUCUUCCUUAGAGGAAGGCAUUGCUGUGUUGAAAUCUAUUGAGUGUUCAAGCACCAAGUGGAAAAAGUUAGUCCCACAGGCUUCUAUAAGUACCAGUAGAAGUGUCUCUGUCAGGGCUCUAGAUGUCCUGAAGUAUGAGGAAGUGGACAUGGAGUUGUUGGCCAAGGCUGUUCCAGACCCUUUGAAGAAGUAUACUGAAUGUCGAGAGCUAGCUGAGAGGCUAAAAAUAGAAGCCUCUUACGAAUCCAUCUUACUGUAUCAACUACAAGAAAUAAAGGAAGUUCAGAGAGAUGAGGCCCUCCAGCUGCCAGAAGACCUGGAUUAUUUGGGUAUCAAAGAUGUGUCUUUGUCCCAUGAAGUUCGGGAGAAACUACAUCUCAGUCGUCCACAGACGGGAUUGAACUCACGACCACCUGCUUGCAAGGCAGUUGCUAUGCUGCUGAACUAAAUCCCCAGCCCCUACUCAUAAGAUUCUUAAGAUGGGCACUGAUGGAAGUAUAAUCCCAGCACUUAGAAGACUGAAGCAGAAGGAUCACCAUGAGUUUGAGGCCAGCCUGGGCUACAUAAUGAGUUCAAAAGGCAGCCUGUACUACAUGGCAAAACCGUCUCAAAACAAAUAAAAAUCUUACAUUGUAGUUUAUUGCUGUGUGAGAGACACUGGUCUCUGAGAGAUAGUAAAGCUUAGUUGAAAUAAAUAAUUGGAGCUAAGAACUGGCUUGACUAUCAGCCUGUACUAUUGUGUGCUAAACCACCAGUGUAAAGUCACAUCCUGGAUGUAUGACCUAGACAACACAUGGCUGGCUUUCCCGUCACUCCUAGGGCUGCAUGGCACUGCUUAGAAGCUGUGGGGAGAGGAAACCCCGAGGACCUCCACCUGUAUGUCUGCCUAAUUGUGUGAAGAUUGGGGCUGCCAGUCGUGUACCUGGAGUGACCCCAGCUGCCAUCGUUAAUCUGCUCAAGUUUGUGAAGAUGGUUCAUCGAAGACAGGCAGUUGAGAAUGGAUCUUCCCCCGAUGAUCCACACUUAACUGAUACAGGCAAAUUUCAAGAGUUAUAGUUUUCCGUCCACAAAAGAAGACUUUUAGAGUGUGAAUAAUUUAAUCUGUACAAAAGUAUAAAUAGGAGAUAACUAUUUUAACACCUGUGGACAUAGCUCUGUGAGGUUUGUCAUUUAUUUAUGAAGAAAAUAGAGAUUACAUUUGUGCUCUUUGAGGGGGGAUUCAUGUUGUGUGCCUAUAAUCGCAGCAUUCUGGUAAGCUGAGAUAGGAGGAUCCCAAAUUCAGUCCCAGCCCAGAUAAAAUAGCAACAUAGCGAAGACCCUGGGUUCAAACAUAAAAAGUUCAGUACUUUUUAUGUUUAUUUUUUUGUCUUUGAGAGAGGGUUUUACUGUCAGUUCAGGCCGACCUCAAUCUCAUGGCAAUCCUCCUGCCUCAGCCUCCUGAGUGCUGGGAUUACAGAUGUGUGCCACCACACCCAGAAGAUUCUGGUAGUGUUUUUUUGUUUUGUUUUGUUUUGUUGUUUUUGGUACUGGGAACCAAACUCAGGACAUCAUGCUUGCCAGGCAGGUGCUAUAGCAUUGAGCUAUAUCCCCAGCCCUCUAGUACUGUUUCUUAAAAAUGCUUUUUUGUAUAUCUGAAAAUAAUUGUAGGUAGUUCAUAUAGUAAGGAGUUCCAAUAUAGCGAUCUUACUCAUAUACUUUAUUCAGUCUUCAUCAGAGAGAUAAUAGUGAAGCUAAAACUAUAAGCAUCUGGGAAGCUGAGGCAGGAGGUUAGCUAUGAGUUCAAGAAAAUAAUGAAGCCAAAACUAAACCUGAAAAAAACCUCAACUUGUAGAUUUGCCUACUCACAAGUACUCUGCUCAUGAAAUAUAUUACCCACCCAGAUCCCCCAACCACAUCCCAGUCUCUUGGCCCCAGUCCAGUUUUUUUAACAAAAGAUCAGUCUCUGCUAAAAGCUCACAGUUUGGUCAACCCACUCAGGACUCCUUUUGUCUCUCUCUCAGACAGAAGCUUUCUUUCUCUCAAUAAAUAUAUUCUGCUCAAAAAAAAAAAAAUCUGCUCUUACAAAAAAAAAAUAAAAGCCCACACACAGUUUGUUAGGGCUAAAUAUUGAGACUAUACCAUAUUCCACUAAUUUUUCAUUUUAGGAUGUAAUAUUUGCUUCUUCAGGAAAUUCUUAUCAAUAACUGUUUUUUGAACAUUAAUGAAAGCCCUAUAAAAUAGAUUUGAAGUCAGCAAUCCCUAUCAUACAAUAUAAAAUUUGUUUGGUAACCUGAUUGACAAAGAAUAUACAGUAAUUGGAGUUACUUUGUAUAACACAAUAAAGAUAUUUUCUGAUAAA
Cavia porcellus (domestic guinea pig) is the source of this 3952-nucleotide RNA transcript. It is a transcript of the gene named mitochondrial tRNA translation optimization 1, with no coding region annotated. The transcript has 13 exons. The record is from RefSeq and is a predicted model, not a curated record. Lineage: Eukaryota; Metazoa; Chordata; Mammalia; Rodentia; Caviidae.